Molecule: ribosomal RNA, 347 nt
Filed under: uncultured Geomyces
Lineage: Eukaryota; Fungi; Ascomycota; Leotiomycetes; Myxotrichaceae
Description: SSU rRNA
Rfam family: Eukaryotic small subunit ribosomal RNA
Source: RNAcentral
GUAGUCAUAUGCUUGUCUCAAAGAUUAAGCCAUGCAUGUCUAAGUAUAAGCAAUCUAUACAGUGAAACUGCGAAUGGCUCAUUAAAUCAGCUAUCGUUUAUUUGAUAGUACCUUACUACUUGGAUAACCGUGGUAAUUCUAGAGCUAAUACAUGCUAAAAACCCCGACUUCGGAAGGGGUGUAUUUAUUAGAUAAAAAACCAAUGCUCUUCGGGGCUCCUUGGUGAUUCAUAAUAACUUAACGAAUCGCAUGGCCUUGUGCCGGCGAUGGUUCAUUCAAAUUUCUGCCCUAUCAACUUUCGAUGGUAGGAUAGUGGCCUACCAUGGUUUCAACGGGUAACGGGGAAU